RNAcentral lists this ribosomal RNA (764 nucleotides) under uncultured bacterium. RNAcentral describes it as "bacterial SSU rRNA". It matches the Rfam family "Bacterial small subunit ribosomal RNA", at positions 64 to 806 of the family's 1533-position model. The record is from RNAcentral.
GAACGCGAAAGUGGAGCAAUCCAUGAGUAGAGUGGCAAACGGGUGAGUAACGCGUGGGUGACCUGCCUCCGAGUGGGGGAUAACGUCUCGAAAGGGACGCUAAUACCGCAUAACAUCCUGUCUUUUAAGAGAUGGAGAUCAAAGCCUGGGACCGCAAGGCCAGGCGCUUGAAGAGGGGCCCGCGUCUGAUUAGCUAGUUGGUGGGGUAAUGGCUCACCAAGGCAUCGAUCAGUAUCCGGCCUGAGAGGGCGGACGGACACACUGGGACUGAGACACGGCCCAGGCUCCUACGGGAGGCAGCAGUGGGGAAUUGUUCGCAAUGGGCGCAAGCCUGACGACGCAACGCCGCGUGGAGGAUGAAGACCUUCGGGUCGUAAACUCCUUUCGAUCGAGACGAAUGGCCUCUGGGUAAACAGCUCGGAGGAAUGACGGUACCGAGAGAAGAAGCCCCGGCUAACUCCGUGCCAGCAGCCGCGGUAAUACGGGGGGGGCAAGCGUUGUUCGGAAUUACUGGGCGUAAAGGGCUCGUAGGUGGCCAACUAAGUCAGACGUGAAAUCCCUCGGCUUAACCGGGGAACUGCGUCUGAUACUGGAUGGCUUGAGUUUGGGAGAGGGACGCGGAAUUCCAGGUGUAGCGGUGAAAUGCGUAGAUAUCUGGAGGAACACCNGUGGCGAAGGCGGCGUCCUGGACCAACACUGACACUGAGGAGCGAAAGCCAGGGGAGCAAACGGGAUUAGAUACCCCCGGUAGUCCUGGCCCUAAA